This 250-nucleotide ribosomal RNA is filed under the name uncultured bacterium. Its description in RNAcentral is "partial 16S ribosomal RNA". It matches the Rfam family "Bacterial small subunit ribosomal RNA", at positions 524 to 773 of the family's 1533-position model. The record is from RNAcentral.
UACGAAGGGGGCAAGCGUUGUUCGGAUUUACUGGGCGUAAAGGGCGCGUAGGCGGAUCUUUAAGUCAGAGGUGAAAGCCCUGGGCUCAACCCGGGAAUUGCCUUUGAGACUGGGGAUCUUGAGUAUGGGAGAGGGUGGCGGAAUACCCAGUGUAGAGGUGAAAUUCGUAGAUAUUGGGUAGAACACCAGUGGCGAAGGCGGCCACCUGGCCCAUAACUGACGCUGAGGCGCGAAAGCGUGGGGAGCAAAC